Molecule: long non-coding RNA, 355 nt
Filed under: Nicotiana benthamiana
Lineage: Eukaryota; Viridiplantae; Streptophyta; Magnoliopsida; Solanales; Solanaceae
Description: long non-coding RNA (NBEN_LNC035718)
Source: RNAcentral
UAAAACACAAAAAAUAAGUUAGAAUUGUUUCUAAAGGACAGAGAUUAAGAGACCUAGGCAGAAACUUAGGGUUUCAUAAUAAAUUAGUGGGAGGUAAGGAACAUGACUGUAAAACUCGUUAAUAAUGACGUUUGUAGCACCAUCGGGCCAUAAACCAUCGGAGGAAGGCCGAAGACAAGCCAUGCAAGGCCUCCAGUGACCAUCUUGUAUGGUGGAGGAUUCUAGAGUCUUGAAACUAAAGGGAAUCAACAAGGUACAGUUCUAUGGCGGCUGGUGGUCGAGAAAGAAGUGAGGAUGGAGGUGGCCGGAGAGGCGGUGGCUUCAUCGGAGACGAGAGAGAGAACCAAUAAGGUUU